GGGCCCGUGGCCUAGUCUGGAUAAGGCAUUGGCCUUCUAAGCCAAUGAUCCGGGGUUCAAAUCCCCGCGGGCCCG
This 75-nucleotide transfer RNA is filed under the name Thermoplasmatales archaeon I-plasma. It matches the Rfam family "tRNA". Rfam says of the family: Transfer RNA (tRNA) molecules are approximately 80 nucleotides in length. The record is from Rfam by way of RNAcentral. Lineage: Archaea; Methanobacteriati; Thermoplasmatota; Thermoplasmata; Thermoplasmatales. RNAcentral also lists the same sequence under 3 other names.